AAGUCAAAUAAAUAAAUCUGUUUCUUUUCUGGGCAGAGCCGGCGAGUUUCCUUUGCCAAUCCAAUCUAUCAGGAAGAAUUGGCAGAUGAUAUUGAUAGGCGAAGCCCUGCCGUUAGAAAUCAUUCUUCAAAUGGGUCUCCGUCUUCCCGAAGCAUUAAACCUUCUUCUAAUCAUCAAACCAAGCCUAUUACCACUCCAACCAAAGGACCCCUCUCCCCCGGAUCUCGUAGCCAUAAAUAUAAGAGCUCAAAGAAGUGUUUAAUCAGUGAAAUGGUCAAAGAAACUCUACCGUCUCCUACAGAAAGCAUAUAUCCAGCGCUGCAGGGUUGUAAGGCACCUGUUGACACCAUUUUGCCUCAGAUUACAUCAAAUAUUUGGUGAGUAGCAAGCACCAGGUUUGAUUCACAAAUGUUUAUGGCUAAUAUUGUGUUGCCAUUUCUUCUCAUGGUGCUCACAGCAUACUUAUUCACAGGAAGGUUAUACUCUUGAGCCACAAAAAGAACUAGUACCAGAUGAUGUCUUCUGUUGCGGAACACUUACAGAAGAAGAAAAAACCCACCAGAGUUUUCUUGGUGUAUUAUCUAGAUGGAAUUUUGAGUCUAGCCUUGCAGUUUUCAUAAGAGGAUGGAAAGUAGACUGUUGGUACAUUCUCCUUCAGUGGGGGAAGACAUCCAGAUUGGCUAGGGGCAGGGUUCAGUUGGAGCAGGAGCGCACAGGAGCGGCGCUCUGCCAGUUAACAAGUUGACUCUCUAAGUCCAGUCUUUUGGCUGAGAAGUUUUUCCGGAGAACUUCUGUUUGGUGAUAGGGACCUAGAAAAAGUUAUUUUAGAGACCAAAGAGAAUAGGAAGGCCAUGCCAUCAACGUCAAGGAUAAGGAUGGUAGAGUGACAUAAUUUCAUUCCUUUACUAAGUAAAGGGCACCAAUGCGAGGCAGGGAGAACAAGGGUUUCAGAGGCUCCUGCUCUUCAGGAUACUGAUCCAGAUUCCAGCAAAGUUCAUCAGGGCAAGAGAUGCCAACACAGCAAACAAGGACACCAGGACCACCAUGGAGGUGUUUGCAGUACAUGGUUCCUGAUAAACAUUCAGAAAAGUCAGAUCACUGAAUCCAGAUGCUUAG
This is a long non-coding RNA of Gekko japonicus, 1116 nucleotides long. RefSeq lists it as uncharacterized. The record is from RefSeq and is a predicted model, not a curated record. Lineage: Eukaryota; Metazoa; Chordata; Lepidosauria; Squamata; Gekkonidae. The transcript has 3 exons.